This 802-nucleotide ribosomal RNA is filed under the name Stenotrophomonas sp. RNAcentral describes it as "bacterial SSU rRNA". It matches the Rfam family "Bacterial small subunit ribosomal RNA", at positions 46 to 838 of the family's 1533-position model. The record is from RNAcentral. Lineage: Bacteria; Pseudomonadati; Pseudomonadota; Gammaproteobacteria; Lysobacterales; Lysobacteraceae.
GUCUAACCAUGCAGUCGACGGCAGCACAGGAGAGCUUGCUCUCUGGGUGGCGAGUGGCGGACGGGUGAGGAAUACAUCGGAAUCUACUCUGUCGUGGGGGAUAACGUAGGGAAACUUACGCUAAUACCGCAUACGACCUACGGGUGAAAGCAGGGGAUCUUCGGACCUUGCGCGAUUGAAUGAGCCGAUGUCGGAUAAGCUAGUUGGCGGGGUAAAGGCCCACCAAGGCGACGAUCCGUAGCUGGUCUGAGAGGAUGAUCAGCCACACUGGAACUGAGACACGGUCCAGACUCCUACGGGAGGCAGCAGUGGGGAAUAUUGGACAAUGGGCGCAAGCCUGAUCCAGCCAUACCGCGUGGGUGAAGAAGGCCUUCGGGUUGUAAAGCCCUUUUGUUGGGAAAGAAAUCCAGCUGGCUAAUACCCGGUUGGGAUGACGGUACCCAAAGAAUAAGCACCGGCUAACUUCGUGCCAGCAGCCGCGGUAAUACGAAGGGUGCAAGCGUUACUCGGAAUUACUGGGCGUAAAGCGUGCGUAGGUGGUCGUUUAAGUCCGUUGUGAAAGCCCUGGGCUCAACCUGGGAACUGCAGUGGAUACUGGGCGACUAGAGUGUGGUAGAGGGUAGCGGAAUUCCUGGUGUAGCAGUGAAAUGCGUAGAGAUCAGGAGGAACAUCCAUGGGCGAAGGCAGCUACCUGGACCAACACUGACACUGAGGCACGAAAGCGUGGGGAGCAAACAGGAUUAGAUACCCUGCGUAGUCCACGCCCUAAACGAUGCGAACUGGAUGUUGGGGUGCAAUUUGG